This 435-nucleotide ribosomal RNA is filed under the name Levisquilla inermis. Its description in RNAcentral is "partial large subunit ribosomal RNA". It matches the Rfam family "Bacterial large subunit ribosomal RNA", at positions 1850 to 2526 of the family's 2925-position model. The record is from RNAcentral. Lineage: Eukaryota; Metazoa; Arthropoda; Malacostraca; Stomatopoda; Squillidae.
UGGUCUGGCCUGCCCACUGAUAUUUAAAAUUAAAGGGCCGCGGUAUUUUGACCGUGCGAAGGUAGCAUAAUAAUUAGUCUCCUAAUUAGAGGCUUGUAUGAAUGGUCGGACAAGAUGGAAACUGUCUCAAUACAAUAAAUAAAAUUUAAUAUUUAAGUAAAAAAGCUUAAAUAACGUGGAGUGACGAUAAGACCCUAUAAAGCUUUAUAAUAUCUUUCUUUUAUAUAAAUUAUUUCGUUAUUAACAUAUCUUAGUGUAGGUAUUAUUUUACUGGGGCGGUAAAAGUAUAUUAAAAGAAUAACUGCUUUUAUUUUGCAUAACAAUUGUAGUUGGAAAUAAAUUGAUCCAUUAUUAAUGAUUAUAAAAACAAGUUACUUUAGGGAUAACAGCGUAAUUUUUUUUGAGAGUUCCUAUCGAAAAAAAAGUUUGCGACUA